Molecule: ribosomal RNA, 497 nt
Filed under: uncultured bacterium
Lineage: Bacteria
Description: partial 16S ribosomal RNA
Rfam family: Bacterial small subunit ribosomal RNA
Source: RNAcentral
GAUGAACGCUGGCGGCGUGCCUAAUACAUGCAAGUCGAGCGAACAGACGAGGAGCUUGCUCCUCUGACGUUAGCGGCGGACGGGUGAGUAACACGUGGAUAACCUACCUAUAAGACUGGGAUAACUUCGGGAAACCGGAGCUAAUACCGGAUAAUAUAUUGAACCGCAUGGUUCAAUAGUGAAAGACGGUUUUGCUGUCACUUAUAGAUGGAUCCGCGCCGCAUUAGCUAGUUGGUAAGGUAACGGCUUACCAAGGCGACGAUGCGUAGCCGACCUGAGAGGGUGAUCGGCCACACUGGAACUGAGACACGGUCCAGACUCCUACGGGAGGCAGCAGUAGGGAAUCUUCCGCAAUGGGCGAAAGCUUGACGGAGCAACGCCGCGUGAGUGAUGAAGGUCUUCGGAUCGUAAAACUCUGUUAUUAGGGAAGAACAAAUGUGCAAGUAACUAUGCACGUCUUGACGGUACCUAAUCAGAAAGCCACGGCUAACUACGUG